Haliotis rubra (blacklip abalone) is the source of this 426-nucleotide long non-coding RNA. RefSeq lists it as uncharacterized. Lineage: Eukaryota; Metazoa; Mollusca; Gastropoda; Lepetellida; Haliotidae. The record is from RefSeq and is a predicted model, not a curated record. The transcript has 2 exons.
UAUCAAUUUUAUUCAGAAAAUUACAUUAUUUAUCAUGACUACAAUUAAUAUAUUUUUCUGGUAUCAUUAUUCCUCCUAAUGAAGUUUGAUUAUGAGUUUACCUGGGCUUAGACAGUACCAACAGCCUGUCUUAUGCAACAAUAAAAGUGAAAAAUGAAGUCAUAAUUCAGCAUUAUAUUUAUAUCAUAAAAUUAUCAUUUGUUUUGUAGAUGCCCAGGAAACAGAAAGUUUUCAUCGGCAGUUGUGGGAAGGGCUUCUCAAGGAGCCUACUAUUAAGUUCAAUAUUUCCAUCUUGAUUCUAGAGAUGAGCCCACAGAUACCCUAUGCCCGGAAGAAGCCACAAAUGUCCAUUUGGAAAAUGUCCGAAUGUAGCUUUCUUUGGACUCUGUUCUUGUAUGGAGGCUAUCGAUUAAAUCCUAGAUGUUU